Molecule: long non-coding RNA, 1124 nt
Filed under: Anser brachyrhynchus (Pink-footed goose)
Lineage: Eukaryota; Metazoa; Chordata; Aves; Anseriformes; Anatidae
Description: lncRNA (ENSABRG00000019223.1)
Source: RNAcentral
UUGUAACUCAUAACAUGUAACGUAGGUAAAGCCCGGCACAUUGCCCAGUGGGGUGCUAGGGAUCACAGAACAUCCUGAGUGGGAAGGGACCUACAAGGAUCAUCAAGUCCAACUCCUGGCUCCACACAGGACCAGCCAAAAAUCAGGCCCUGUGUCUGAGAGCAUUGUCCAAACGCUUCUUGAACUCCACUUCUUGAGCUCCGGCAGUCUCGGUGCUGUGACCACUGCCCUGGGGAGCCUGUCCCAGUGCCCGACCACCCUCUGGGUGCAGAACCUUUCCCUAACCCCCAGCCUGACCCUCCCCUGUCCCAGCUCCAUGCCGUUCCCUCGGGUCCUGUCGCUGUCCCCAGAGAGCAGAGCUCAGCGCCUGCCCCUCCGCUCCCCUCGUGAGGGAGCUGCAGGCCGCCAUGAGGCCUCCCCUCGGCCUGCUCUGCUCUGGGCCGAACAAACACAGGGACCUCAGCUGUUCCUCAUGUGUCUUGCCCUCCAGACCCUUCACCAUCUUUGUAGCCCUCCUUUGGGAGGGCUAAUAGGGCUAAUUAGGACACUCCCUAAUAGUUUUAUAUCCUUAGGAGAUACAAAGCAUCAGGCUAUAGGGGACAAAUGCAACCCAGGCUGUGCCAGUGGGGUUCUGUUCUCCCAUCACUGUGCCCUUUCCCAUUUACAACAUUAUUCAGAAAGCAAUGUCUGAAGAGCUUCUGGCACAUCUCAUUGUGCACACAGCAUUCAUACCCAACUGUCCAGUUUUGCUACCAUUGUUAACGAUCUCCCAGUCAACCCAGCAGUGACUUCAGAGAAUUCCUUAUUUCUUCAAGACAGAAAAGACAAUGCAAAAUGCUGUGGCACUCACAAAGAUCAUCAAAGGAACAAGAGUUCCACCUUCAGGUCUGGGAAAACACUACCUCUGAUGGCAAAAGAUACCUCUGAAAAAAUGUUAAUGUGCAGAUGGAGUUGGACUUGCUGAAUUACAGAUGGACUCGGACUUCUAUUGCAUGUCUAUGAUCAUUUUUGAAGGGCCUCUUACAGAUCUGAUGGCUGCUUGUAUUCUUAUACUGUUAUCAGAGAAACUGUUCUGCUAAUAACAGAACAAUAAAAAUACAGACCAUGAAGACUUCUAAAAGGGU